UCCCCAAAGGCUUAACUAAGGUACUACCAGAGCUAUACAAAAUCCAUUCCCAGAGUGUCCACUGAGGCUGUAUUCCGGUGGAACUGUGUCCAGGACUGCAGCCCUGGACACGUCCUACACUUGAACCAUCUGUCCAGGGAGGAUUUUAAAAUGCCCUCCAUUUGGAGCAAGACUAAAGUGGAUUAAUUUACAUUUCUACAAAGGUUUUUCGCUUUUGAUUCCAUCACGCCAUCCACUUUCCUUGAAGGUCUUCCAUUUUGCAGUGCCUUGUCCUCCUUUACGAUGUGGACAUCCGGUCACCUUCCCUCAGAAUGUGAGUUCGGUGGGGUUCGGUGGAUUGUGCCGUUGUGGGUCUGAAGUCCAGGGACAGAGAGUGUCGGAGAACUUCCCUUGAAGUUCAGUCCUAAGCAGGUCUACUCAGAAGCCGGUCUGGUGGUGGGGGCCUUCCUGCUGGGCAACUGUUGGCUCCAGGAGAUGGACUCCCGACAUGCAAAGGAAUCUUCUUGGCACGGAGGCUUUUCUGGAAGCUCCCGAACUUCCUCCUUGCUCUGGACUUUGCUCUCUAGCAGCAGCAGCCUGGUGCCAGCAACUCCCCUGCAGUCGGAGAGAGUGUCCGCCGCACACCAAAGCCACACUUGGAGCCUUGAACAGUGAACUGGGUUCCCAGCGAGGAACAAAGCAAACAAACCAUCAAAACAGCUUCCUCUUGAACUUCGAGCCAAUGCGGAUGCAGUGGUAUGAGCGCUGGAGGAGGACUCUCUCUAGUCAGGGUUUGAACUCAGCUCCAGUCUAUGGCGAACCUGUGACAGGCUUUUCUUGAAAAUCCAGACAGAGUUGAAACAGUGAGUCCCUCCGAGGCAGAGCGAGUCUGGAAGGAAAGCCAGAGGAGAAGAAGAGGAAUCGUGGAUCUGCCUGUGUCUCUGGCAGCGAGAAGAAAAGACAACGUUUCCAGCUCUUUUGAGGAAGAGAUUUCUGGCCAAGUGAAGAAAACAAACGCCUGCAAGAUCCUGUCCACUGCCUAGGGAUUAAAUUGUAUUGGUCUGCUUUACAAUCCAACCGUAAAAUAAACUGAGGGAAAGAGAGGAGAGCUGGCAUGGUGUGGUGGUUUGAGCAUUGGACUAUGACUCUGGAGACCAGGGUUUGGUUCCCUAUUCCACAGAUCUCCUUUCCAGGUGAAGGCACCGGGGUAGCCUUGAGCAAGUCACACUUUCUCAGCCCCAGAGGAAGGCAAGGGCAAACCCCUCUGAACAAAUCUUGCCAAGAAAACCCCAUGACAGGAUAGCCUUAGGGUCGCCACAAGUCGGCAACCGACGUGAAGGGACACAUCAACUAAAACAAAGCAGAUAUUGCUGAAACGGAGCAAGAUCCCCUCCUCAACAACUUCCAGGCAUUUCCUAAAGUAUGUACCAGCAGAAAGCUGGGAAAAUAAGGGACCUCCCUGUCACACUGGAUCGGAACAGUGCAGAAAUGCUUCCUUUCCAUCAUCCCAUCUUUCCAGAGUCUUUCCUUUGUUCAUUGGUCACUAGAUUCUUGGGCCAGCCCGACCUUUUCCGUCGGCAGCCUCAGUGGUACUUUGCAGCUUCUUUCCUCUCAACUAUUCCGAUCCCUCCCUCGCUUUAAAUCCAACUUUCGUUCUUCGGACGUGUGCCUUGCAAUUCUCCCAGUCUCCCUCCCUCCCUCUCGAUUUCUCUUCUCCCCCCCCCCCCACCCCCCCAACAGCUAGAGCAAAGGUCUGUUGCAAAGGCAGAAUGGAGCCAAAAUGAACGCGAAGUACAGCCAGUCCUCCAUAUCCAGGGGUUCUUUAUCCGCGGAUUCAACCAAUUUUAUAUAUAGAUAAAUUCCAAACUGCAACUCUUGAUUGUGCCACUUUAUACAAAGGACACAAUUUCACUAUGCCACUGUAUUUAAUGGGAUUUGAGCGCCCAUGGGUUUUAGUAUCCGCAGGAGAGUCCUAGAUCCAAACACCAGCAGAUACCAAGGACCCACUGUACUUGUAAGCAGUGGGUUUGGAAAGGAAGUGUACCUGUAAAUCGUUGACGAGGCAGGGCUUCCAGGCAAACAGCCCCACAGUUUUGGGGGGGAAAAAUGCUUGCCCACAGAUCUCCUUUCCAGGUGAAGGCAACUUUCAACCAUUUGCCGGAACACGCUUUGCUUCCGAGUCCCACCUGCCUUGAUAUUUCCUGAGGCUGUGGUACCACAGAAAGCCUUCUGCGCAUGAUCAGAGGCACUUCCCUGCCUCACAUAUUCAAUACUACUCGUCUUAGCCUCAUUGAGCUUGCACCAGGCAGCUUCUAGUGGUAACAAAAAUACACCAGAAAAACAACAUGAAACAUUUAUCCAGCGACUUGUUGUUGCUGUUGUUUUUCUAAAUCAAUCACAGCAGGGAGAGAGAAGACAGCAUGUAAAAGGAAGAUGCAAAAACAAAAACAAAACAAUAGGAAAUCAAUCUAAGGGGCAAAACAGUAGGAAAGGGAUAUAAAGGCAGUAGUAGUUUACACAAAAUAUUAUCUAGACAAAACAACUAAAGAACUACUGUACCAAUAAAGCAUGUCUGUUCUUCCUAGAAUUUCCACCAGUUCAGACUGUGAAAGCUUGCUGUGUUCUUAGGAAAAAUAAAAGAAGAGGGAUGGAAAGUUUUUUGUAUCUGUCCCAAGCAAAGGACAUCCAGGGUUGGCCAUAUAGCAAAUGCAGUUUAAAAAUCCACCAGUGAUACCUUUAUUGGCCAACCAAAAUGCACAAUAUAUGUGUUGCCAGCUUUUGAGGCUUCACAGGCCUCUUCAUCAGGCAAGGUGUUACAAACCAAACAGGAGGGAAAAAAUUGAAGUUGUUAGUCAUAGUCCUGCAUUUUGCUGUUUCUCUUCUUAAUUAAGAUAGUAUGGAGGGGCAUAUCUUGCAGGCUGGCACCUCAUGUAGGCUCAACUGAAAGCUUAAUAUUUAUUCAGUUAGAAAUAGGGAAAAGAGUGCUUUUUAAAUGAAGCAACAAAGUUAGGCCUCCUGGAGGGAAUAAACAAAAACAGAAUAAAAUAAGAAAUUUUGUGGGCUUUUCUUUUCCAGUUCA
Molecule: long non-coding RNA, 3058 nt
Organism: Sceloporus undulatus (fence lizard)
Lineage: Eukaryota; Metazoa; Chordata; Lepidosauria; Squamata; Phrynosomatidae
Exons: 3
Source: RefSeq, a predicted model, not a curated record